GCAGACACACUCCAGCCAAUCAGCAGCAGACCCUCCCUCCCAGACCCUCCCACCACCUGGACAGCUCACUAAGAAUGCAGCUUUGAAAAUGGAUGCUGUCCAGGAGAUGGAAGGGUCUGGGAGGGAGGGUAUGCUGCUGAUUGGCUGGAAUGUGUCUG
RNAcentral lists this microRNA precursor (158 nucleotides) under Pelobates cultripes (western spadefoot toad). The record is from RNAcentral. Lineage: Eukaryota; Metazoa; Chordata; Amphibia; Anura; Pelobatidae.